Molecule: ribosomal RNA, 326 nt
Filed under: uncultured eukaryote
Lineage: Eukaryota
Description: partial 18S ribosomal RNA
Rfam family: Eukaryotic small subunit ribosomal RNA
Source: RNAcentral
CCCUUAGAUGUUCUGGGCCGCACGCGCGCUACACUGACGAAGUCAGCGAGCAUGUCCUACGCCGACAGGUGCGGGGAAUCUUGUCAAACUUCGUCGUGAUGGGGAUUGAUUAUUGAAAUUCUUGAUCAUCAACGAGGAAUUCCUAGUAAGCGCAAGUCAGCAGCUUGCGUCGAUUACGUCCCUGCCCUUUGUACACACCGCCCGUCGCUCCUACCGAUUGGGUGUGCUGGUGAAAUGUUCGGAUCGGCCGUUUGUCGCGGUUUCCGCGUCAUGUGGCUGAGAAGUUCAUUAAACCCUCCCACCUAGAGGAAGGAGAAGUCGUAACA